AAAGCUUUAGUAUAAUUUAGUAUAUUUCACUGUCAAUGGAAAGGUAGAUAAGCUUUA
Molecule: transfer RNA, 57 nt
Filed under: Strongyloides vituli
Lineage: Eukaryota; Metazoa; Nematoda; Chromadorea; Rhabditida; Strongyloididae
Description: tRNA-Asp
Source: RNAcentral